UGGGGUGACUGCGUACCUUUUGUAUAAUGGGUCAGCGACUUAUAUUCUGUAGCAAGGUUAACCGAAUAGGGGAGCCGAAGGGAAACCGAGUCUUAACUGGGCGUUAAGUUGCAGGGUAUAGACCCGAAACCCGGUGAUCUAGCCAUGGGCAGGUUGAAGGUUGGGUAACACUAACUGGAGGACCGAACCGACUAAUGUUGAAAAAUUAGCGGAUGACUUGUGGCUGGGGGUGAAAGGCCAAUCAAACCGGGAGAUAGCUGGUUCUCCCCGAAAGCUAUUUAGGUAGCGCCUCGUGAAUUCAUCUCCGGGGGUAGAGCACUGUUUCGGCAAGGGGGUCAUCCCGACUUACCAACCCGAUGCAAACUGCGAAUACCGGAGAAUGUUAUCACGGGAGACACACGGCGGGUGCUAACGUCCGUCGUGA
RNAcentral lists this ribosomal RNA (424 nucleotides) under Escherichia coli. RNAcentral describes it as "partial 23S ribosomal RNA". It matches the Rfam family "Bacterial large subunit ribosomal RNA", at positions 589 to 1013 of the family's 2925-position model. Lineage: Bacteria; Pseudomonadati; Pseudomonadota; Gammaproteobacteria; Enterobacterales; Enterobacteriaceae. The record is from RNAcentral.